Small nuclear RNA from Jaculus jaculus (lesser Egyptian jerboa), 110 nucleotides. The record is from Ensembl. Lineage: Eukaryota; Metazoa; Chordata; Mammalia; Rodentia; Dipodidae.
GUGCUUGCUUCAGCAGAACAUAUGCUAAAAUUGGAAUGAUAGAGAGAAGAUUACCAAGCAUGCCCCUGCAAAAGGAUGACAUGCAAAUUCAUGAAGCGUUUCAUAUUUUU